This 531-nucleotide ribosomal RNA is filed under the name uncultured bacterium. RNAcentral describes it as "bacterial SSU rRNA". It matches the Rfam family "Bacterial small subunit ribosomal RNA", at positions 355 to 896 of the family's 1533-position model. The record is from RNAcentral.
UGGGGAAUAUUGCACAAUGGGCGAAGGCCUGAUGCAGCGACGCCGCGUGAGGGAUGACGGCCUUCGGGUUGUAAACCUCUUUCAGUAGGGAAGAAGCGAAAGUGACGGUACCUGCAGAAGAAGCGCCGGCUAACUACGUGCCAGCAGCCGCGGUAAUACGUAGGGCGCAAGCGUUAUCCGGAAUUAUUGGGCGUAAAGAGCUCGUAGGCGGUUUGUCGCGUCUGCCGUGAAAGUCCGGGGCUCAACUCCGGAUCUGCGGUGGGUACGGGCAGACUAGAGUGAUGUAGGGGAGACUGGAAUUCCUGGUGUAGCGGUGAAAUGCGCAGAUAUCAGGAGGAACACCGAUGGCGAAGGCAGGUCUCUGGGCAUUAACUGACGCUGAGGAGCGAAAGCAUGGGGAGCGAACAGGAUUAGAUACCCUGGUAGUCCAUGCCGUAAACGUUGGGCACUAGGUGUGGGGGACAUUCCACGUUUUCCGUACCGUAGCUAACGCAUUAAGUGCCCCGCCUGGGGAGUACGGCCGCAAGGCUA